GACGAACGCUGGCGGCGUGCCUAACACAUGCAAGUCGAACGGAGAUUUCAGUAAUGAAAUCUUAGUGGCGAACGGGUGAGUAACGCGUAGACAACCUGCCUUUUAGAUGGGGACAACACCGCGAAAGUGGUGCUAAUACCGAAUGUUGUAUUUUAAUCGCAUGAUUGAGCUACUAAAGAUGGACUCUGUAUAUGCUAUCGCUAAAAGAUGGGUCUGCGUCUGAUUAGCGAGUUGGUGAGGUAAUGGCUCACCAAGGGGACGAUCAGUAGCCGGUCUGAGAAGAUGAACGGACACACUGGGACUGAGACACGGCCCAGACUCCUACGGGAGGCAGCAGUGGGGAAGCUUCCUCAAUGGACGAAAGUCUGCCGGAGCAACGCCGCGUGAGUGAAGAAGGUUUUCGGAUCGUAAAACUCUGUUUUCAGGGACGAAUGUGCAGAUUGUGAAUAAUGAUUUGUAAUUACGGUACCUGAGUAGAAAGCCACGGCUAACUACGUGCCAGCAGCCGCCGCCG
Molecule: ribosomal RNA, 514 nt
Filed under: uncultured bacterium
Lineage: Bacteria
Description: partial 16S ribosomal RNA
Rfam family: Bacterial small subunit ribosomal RNA
Source: RNAcentral